AACGAACGCUGGCGGCGUGCCUAACACAUGCGAGUCGUACCUGAAAGUCAUUCGGGAUGAGUAAAGUGGCGCACGGGUGAGUAACACGUAGGUGCCCUGCCUUUGAGAGGGGAAUAACCAGAAGAAAUUUUGGCUAAUGCCGCAUACGAAACACGGCUGUAAGUCUGUGUUUGAAAGAAUGCCUCUGCAUAUGCAUUCACUAAAAGAUGGGCCUGCGGAACAUUAGCUAGUUGGUGGGGUAAAGGCCUACCAAGGCAACGAUGGUUAUCCGGUCUGGGAGGCUGAUGGGACACACUGGAACUGAGACACGGUCCCGACUCCUACGGGAGGCAGCAGGGGGGAAUAAUGCGCCAUGAGGGAAACCCUGACGCAGCAACGCCGCGUGAGUGAGGAAGGACUUCGGUCUGUAAAGCUCUGUUAAUGUGGAAAAAUGGUAUGUGGUCUAAUUGGCCAUGUAUUUGAUGGUACACAUAGAGGAAGCACCGGCUAACUUCGUGCCAGCCGCCGCCGUAA
RNAcentral lists this ribosomal RNA (513 nucleotides) under uncultured bacterium. RNAcentral's name for it is "partial 16S ribosomal RNA". It matches the Rfam family "Bacterial small subunit ribosomal RNA", at positions 29 to 523 of the family's 1533-position model. The record is from RNAcentral.